RNAcentral lists this ribosomal RNA (393 nucleotides) under uncultured bacterium. RNAcentral's name for it is "partial 16S ribosomal RNA". It matches the Rfam family "Bacterial small subunit ribosomal RNA", at positions 523 to 918 of the family's 1533-position model. The record is from RNAcentral.
AUACGGAGGAUGCAAGCGUUAUCCGGAUUUAUUGGGUUUAAAGGGAGCGCAGGCGGAGAUGCAAGCGUGACGUCAAAUUUCGGGGCUCAACCCCGUCUCGCGUCGCGAACUGCGUCCCUUGGUUGCGGGAAGGGGAGGCGGAACUCGUGGUGUAGCGGGGAAAUGCAUAGAUAUCACGAAGAACUCCGAUCGCGAAGGCAGCCUUCCGGCCCGUCAACGACGCUCAUGCUCGAAGGUGCGGGUAUCAAACAGGAUUAGAUACCCUGGUAGUCCGCACAGUAAACGAUGGACACCCGCGGUUUGGCCUGUAUGGCUGAGCCGCCAAGCGAAAGCGUUAAGUGUCCCACCUGGGGAGUACGCCGGCAACGGUGAAACUCAAAUGAAUUGGCGGGG